UACAGAGGUGGCAAGCGUUGUUCGGAAUUACUGGGCGUAAAGGGCGCGAAGGCGGCCUUCUAAGUCGGAUGUGAAAGCCCCAGGCUUAACCUGGGAACUGCAUCCGAUACUGGAAGGCUAGGAUUCGGGAGAGGGAUGUGGAAUUCUAGGUGUAGCGGUGAAAUGCGUAGAUAUCUGGAGGAACACCGGUGGCGAAGGGGGCAUCCUGGACGGACAGCGACGAUGAGGCGCGAAAGCUAGGGGAGCAAACGGG
Molecule: ribosomal RNA, 253 nt
Filed under: uncultured bacterium
Lineage: Bacteria
Description: partial 16S ribosomal RNA
Rfam family: Bacterial small subunit ribosomal RNA
Source: RNAcentral